This 292-nucleotide ribosomal RNA is filed under the name uncultured microorganism. Its description in RNAcentral is "partial 16S ribosomal RNA". It matches the Rfam family "Bacterial small subunit ribosomal RNA", at positions 505 to 796 of the family's 1533-position model. The record is from RNAcentral.
GUGCCAGCAGCCGCGGUAAUACGUAGGUGACAAGCGUUGUCCGGAAUUAUUGGGCGUAAAGGGAGCGCAGGCGGUUGGAAUAGUCUGAUGUGAAAGCCCACGGCUUAACCGUGGAAGGUCAUUGGAAACUGUCCAACUUGAAUGCAGAAGAGGUAAGUGGAAUUCCAUGUGUAGCGGUGAAAUGCGUAGAUAUGUGGAGGAACACCAGUGGCGAAAGCGACUUACUGGUCUGUAAUUGACGCUGAGGCUCGAAAGCGUGGGUAGCGAACAAGAUUAGAUACCCUGGUAGUCC